This 497-nucleotide ribosomal RNA is filed under the name uncultured bacterium. RNAcentral describes it as "partial 16S ribosomal RNA". It matches the Rfam family "Bacterial small subunit ribosomal RNA", at positions 28 to 507 of the family's 1533-position model. The record is from RNAcentral.
GAUGAACGCUGGCGGCGUGCCUAAUACAUGCAAGUCGAGCGAACGGACGAGAAGCUUGCUGCUCUGAUGUUAGCGGCGGACGGGUGAGUAACGCGUGGAUAACCUACCUAUAAGACUGGGAUAACUUCGGGAAACCGGAGCUAAUACCGGAUAAUAUUUUGAACCGCAUGGUUCAAAAGUGAAAGACGGUCUUGCUGUCACUUAUAGAUGGAUCCGCGCUGCAUUAGCUAGUUGGUAAGGUAAAGGCUUACCAAGGCAACGAUGCAUAGCCGACGUGAGAGAGUGGUCGGCCACACGAGAAGUGGAACACGGUCCAGGGUCCUGAGGGAGGCAGCAGUAGGGAAUCGUCCGCAGUGGUCGAAAGCCUGACGGAGCAGCGCGGCGUGAGUGAUGGAGGUCCUCGGAUCGUAAAACUCUGUUAUUAGGGAAAAACAUAUGUGUAAGUAACUGUGCACAUCGUGACGGUACCUAAUCAGAAAGCCACGGCUAACUACGUG